Molecule: ribosomal RNA, 402 nt
Filed under: bacterium
Lineage: Bacteria
Description: partial 16S ribosomal RNA
Rfam family: Bacterial small subunit ribosomal RNA
Source: RNAcentral
UGGGGAAUUUUGCACAAUGGGGGAAACCCUGAUGCAGCGACGCCGCGUGAUUUAGAAGGCCUUCGGGUUGUAAAAAUCUUUUCUAUGGGAAGAAAAUGACAGUACCAUAGGAAUAAGGACCGGCUAAUUACGUGCCAGCAGCCGCGGUAAUACGUAAGGUCCGAGCGUUGUCCGGAAUCAUUGGGCGUAAAGGGUACGUAGGCGGGUAAGCAAGUUAGAAGUGAAAUCCUAUAGCUCAACUAUAGUAAGCUUUUAAAACUGCUCAUCUUGAGGUAUGGAAGGGAGAGUGGAAUUCCUAGUGUAGCGGUGAAAUGCGCAUAUAUUAGGAGGAAUACCGGUGGCGAAGGCGACUUUCUGGCCAUAACCUGACGCUGAGGUACGAAAGCGUGGGUAGCAAACAGG